This 321-nucleotide ribosomal RNA is filed under the name uncultured Chloroflexota bacterium. RNAcentral's name for it is "bacterial SSU rRNA". It matches the Rfam family "Bacterial small subunit ribosomal RNA", at positions 28 to 351 of the family's 1533-position model. Lineage: Bacteria; Bacillati; Chloroflexota. The record is from RNAcentral.
GAUGAACGCUGGCGGCGUGCUUAACACAUGCAAGUCGAACGGUGAACCUAGCUUUUAGUUAGGGGAACAGUGGCGCACGGGUGAGUAACACGUAGGUGACCUACCCCAGAGAGGGGAAUAACCGCGCGAAAGCGUGGCUAAUACCCCAUACGGUCGGCGAUUCGGUUUGUCGAUCAAAGUUACGGCGCUUUGGGAGGGGCCUGCGGCCCAUCAGCUAGUUGGUAGGGUAAUGGCCUACCAAGGCGAUGACGGGUAGGGGACCUGAGAGGGUGACCCCCCACACUGACACUGAAACACGGGUCAGACACCUACGGGAGGCUG